Molecule: long non-coding RNA, 39233 nt
Filed under: Prunus persica (peach)
Lineage: Eukaryota; Viridiplantae; Streptophyta; Magnoliopsida; Rosales; Rosaceae
Description: long non-coding RNA (PPER_LNC002427)
Source: RNAcentral
CUGGACAUAUCAAAGGCCCUUUUGAGAGUGGACAUGAGAUGGGGAGGGAGGCCAUUGGUGGUAUGGUAGUGAGGUGGGAGUUCAGGCAAGUCAUCAUGUGGAAGAUGGAGUUCCACAAAUUCAAUGCAAUGAGAAUAUUUUUGGGAGAGUUUAGGCUUGAUGGAGCUGAGAUUUACAGGCGUGGAACAAAUAAAGAUGUGAAAAUUUCUCUUGGUGGUCAGCUUCUUGGCUAGCUCUAGGUAGGGAGAUAUAUGGCCGUGAGCUAGCCAUGGAAGCAUAAGAAUAGUAAGUUUUCUUUGGUCAGAGUAAACCAUAUUUUGUUUUCCUUUCACUCUUUUGCUUGAGGUUGCUCGAUUAUAGGCUUAUUGGUAGUUUUUUUGUAGCUAGCUCUAUGCAUAUAUAUAUAUAUAUACACACACAUUCAUGGGAAAAGAGGCUUGGGGAUGGGAAAUCAAUUGAUUUCCUAUGUUUGGUAAAGUUCGGGUAUGAGAAAUCGUUGCUUUGCACAUGAGAAAGUAGAGGGGAAAGUGAAGCCCUCCUCCUUCCUUAGGUUUUGUUUUCCUCCUCAUGGGAAAGUUUGGGAAAAUGAGCUAAUAUUAAAUACAUAUUUUUCAUGACCAUAUUAUCCCCAUUAAUAAUUUAGAAUUACAUAAAUGCAUUCUAUUUUUAUUUGAUUUCAUAUGGGUAUAAUUGAAAAAUUAAACAAAUUUUGUUUUACAUUCCUACACAAACCAAACAUGUGAAAGGAAAUAAAGUGGUAUUUCUUGGUUACUUUCCCAAGAUUACCAAACAUAGGAAAGGAAUCUCUAUUUCCCAUCCCUUAGAAAAUGACUUGGAAAGUAAUUUCUCCUCAAAUUCGUUCCGUGAACCAAACGGAACCUGCAUAAUAGAAGUUCCAAAAAAACACGUGAUGAUUGGAUCAUGCAUAUGUAAGUUCCCGAGUGAUGAUUGGAACAAGUUCCUAAUGAUAAAGACUCGAAACAAGAAUAGUUUAAACUUUCUUCUUUGUUUGGCUUGAUAUAAGACGAAUGCACCAAACAAACCGACUAAUUGCUGGCACAAUAUAAAUUGGGGCUACAAUUACCUAAUAAUUAGGUACUAAGGGCUACAAUUACCUAAUAAUAUCAACUUUCAUUAUACAGAUUUGAGAAACAAAAAGUUCAACUUUGAUGACAAGCGAUAUUAAAGGAGGGCGUAAUCAAACUUAGGAUCUUGAGUGUAGAAAUAAAUACUUUUAACAACUUGAGCUACAAGCCUUUUGUAAUAUUAAUGAUAUUUUAAUUAUACGUUUGAAUAGUUCGCUUCCUUCUCUUUUAUUUUCAUUUGUUUAUAUUUAACUCUAAUUUUAUUUAUAUUUUUGGUCAAGGUAAAAAGACUUUGAAUCUCUCUCCAAUGAUUUUCACAGCCGAAACUCCUUUAGUUUCCACAAAUAUUUUUUAAUAUUUCAUGCAUUUGUAAGUUUCCGACUCGGAUGGUUCAUGUAACCAAGAAGUUUAAACUUGUUUUUGCUUGUUCCGCCGACGAAAGCGCAACAAAAGGACAAACUACAACCAAUACUUCUAGUAUCACCAGUUCUCAUUGAAUUUGUUGCCGUGAAUGUUUAGGAUUCUGCCCAAACUAGUAUUUGCGUUUCUGAAUUGUUUGAAAACACAUAUGAAAUUAUGAUUUCUCCUCCCCAGAAGACAAAUUGACGAAGAAGUAUCAUGAUUUUGAUGACACAAAUUAGAAUCCAGGGUUUUCGAAGUGCCUAAUGGACAACUAUUAAUUUAGAAAUAUAUAUAUUUUUUUCGCAAUGCAGAAACACAUAAAUCCCAAGUUUGAAUUCAUCCUAUUUUUGUUUUUGUUUUUUCCUUUUUUAACCCAGAAGAAAAAUUGAGUGCCACUCUGCUAUGUAGAAUGCAAGUUUUAGUUUAGAUUUUUUUUUCUUUUUAGUCUCUUAUUCUACAUUUAGAUCUCAUAUAUUUACUCGCAUUUUAUUAAAUCUAAGUCAUUCAAACAAUCUGACCACUUAACAAAUUACAAGUACUCAAACUUAAAAUCAGAUUGGAUGGACAUGAGGCUUACACUGAUGAUUCUACACGUGCUGAGAAUAGUCCUUUUAUUUCUUUAUUAUUUUCUUGGUCGGGACUCGAGAGACAGGUGUAGUGUAGCGAUGGAGACGAGGCCCGCAAGACAUAAAAGUCUGAAGAAGAGAAGCGUGAAAGCUUCAUUUAGACAGUUAAGUGCAUACGUAACGUAAAGAUUCAAAGACUAUGUCCCUCUCCAAACAGGGAAAGAUCUGAGUUGAAAGCAACAAACUACAGUCACAAUAGGAAAGCAUCUACAACGUAAAGAAAAUAAGUUUACCAGAAGCAUCGGAAAGAUCUAGAGUCUGAAGAAGAGAUACUGAAGUAAUUGUUCAUCGACUGAGCUUAAAUGAAAUAUUAACUCUUUGUUGUGCCAUAAGCACAAGAUCUUAAGAAAAAAAUUCAAGAUAAACCAUAUAAUAUUUUCUAACCCACAAAAUAAUAUAGAAAAUAAAUGCAAGAACAAGAGAAUAGCAAGACACAACGAGGCUGCUUACAAUCAGUGUAAAUGAGCAAACAAAUUCACCAUCAACAAAUUAGCAUGCUUAUGAAGUGUUUUGCAACCUCACAAACCAAGGCGCCAUAUACACCAAAUGACUCUCACUGAAAAACUAAACAAAGAAACACACUCACACUAAUGAAAGCAACGUUACAAGGUAGGAGAUUGAAUAUUACAUUUACAAUACACUCAUAAGUUACAAAAACUAAUUACAAAUAUUUAGCGCAUAGGUUACAUAGAACUGAAAGGGUGGAAUGAUAAGAGCUAUGGUGGUCAUCCACCAACUCAUGCAUUUACAACACCGCCUCUUGAAUGUCCACCAUACAAUACAAUGAUAUAGUUGCGUCAUUAAACACUUUGCUUGAAAAACUAUAUGGGACAAAACUUAGGCUACGGGAAAAAGAGUGCAACACAAAUAAUAUUGAUAUCACAUUUGUCUCUCCUACGGAAUGAGCUUUGGUGAUGUUUGUAUAAAAAUUGCGUACAAACCAUUAUUGGAAGAUUGGGCUAGAGUGGGCUUUACCCUAGUGUUGACUUUGGAAAGAGACAAAUUAGGCUUAGUUGUGUAAAUUCAAUCCAAAAAAAAAUUAAAUAAUAGCCCACAUCUACAGCCAAAUACUUUAAUACUUUAAUUACUAAAGUUUUUUUUUCUUUCUCUCUCUUCUUUGGUUUAUUCAGCUUUUGAUUUGGCUCAAAUAAUGUUUAUAUCUCUCUUUGAUUUUGUUUUUUCAAAUUUAUUGAUGUUGCUUCUUUUGAAAAUUUUGAAAUAUGGACCCUCCCUAACUAAACCACUCCAUUGAGCAAAAGCCCUUGAGCUUCAAAUUUAUCUUCGUCUGAGCCUCUGAAUUUUGGUUUUUUUUAGGUUUUUUUUGUUUGUUGUAGGUUUCUUUGUUCACAUAUCUCUCUAAAAAUAGUAUUUUUCUUAAUGAAUUCUGAAAAUAGUUUUUAAUUUGAAGGAAAUAUACGGAAUUAGUAAAAAAGUAUACCACUUUCAUUAAUCUGAAGGAAAUAUUGCUUUAUAUAUAUUUGUUUAAAAAUAGGGCUUAUAAUUGAUCUCAAAAAAAAAAAAAAAACAAAUAGCCCACCCCUGUAAAUAUUCCUUAGUCCGCCAUUGCAUGGCAUAAUAUUUGGUAUGCUAUGCUAGCAUCUCAUAAGCUCUUCAAGAGACCUGAAUUUUAUGAUAACUUCUUAAAAAAUUUGAAUACAUUUCAACGAUAUUAAACUUGAAUUUGAACUCAUAAUUCAAUCAAAGUACUCAUUGAGGCAAUUUAGAUCAUUUUCAUUUUAAAAAAAUUGGGUGCACACAUUGAGCUUCAUGCUCUUUACCUUCUUAGAGAUUUUAUUUGAGGAAUUUAUAUUGCAUCACAUAUUACAUCUCUUAGGAUUUGUUCUUAUUAUGUAUUCUUUAAGAGAUCUAUUCUUGCAAUAUGCUUCAAACACUUCAUAAUCUUUAUGAAUUUUUCAUGUAGAUUUAAGGUCUCCAUGAAUAUUGAGAUUGAAACAAGGAGUAAAAGAGUUAAAAGUUUAAGAAAUUUUUUCCCUGAUUAUUUUGUAAUUAUAAUGUUGGUGAAAAUCCAAUUUCCUUUCUAGAAUUUGUGAAAUUUGUUAUUUGGCUAAGCUAAAAGUAUAAUUUUGACAAUAAAAAGCAUAUGAAAGUUUCUCUUUGGUUGGCUUCUUGGCUAGCUCUAGGAACGGACAGUGUGGCCAUGAGAUAACCAUGGAAGUAUAAUAAGAAUGCUUGGAUGCUGUGAACAAUCCAUUUUCUGACUCUUUUUCUUGAGGUGGUUGUUUUCUUAUGGCCCAUCAGAGUUUAUGGUCGACAGAUAAGCUUCAAACACAUGCAUUGGUCGUGUCAGUUGCGAUAAACUCUUCCCAACAAUCAACAAUUUCUAAGGUAAUAUCAUCAUUCAAUCAUGUGCUGAAUUUAGAAUUGUUUUCAAAUCAAGGAUUUGUUUUGGAACUCAGAUUUUAAAACAAUUAAAAUUUAAUUGGGAAGACUUUUUGUUUAAAGGAAGUUCGUUUCAAUUCAAAAAAUAAUUUUUCAGUUUUUCAACUCAAAAGUCUUCUCAGUUUUCUUAUUUUUCUUAUUGGCGAGUUUCUUGGUUAACUCUAGGAAGGGAGAUAUGUGGCCAUGAGCUAACCAUGGAAGCAUAAGAACGCUGACCAUGCUUGGAUUUUGAGAAGACUUCCUCUUUUUUUUUUCCCUGACUCUUCUUCUUGAGGCGGUGGUUGGCUUAUGGCCUCAUAAUAGUUUGGUGUUUUUGGAGAUCAUAUGGUGAUGAUCUGAUGGAGAUGAGUCAUAGUUUGUGCUAGUGCAUACGUAAUUCCAAUUUCCUGAUUCAGAUGGGAUAAACUCUUCCAACAAAUUAAGACUCUUAUCAUGCAUACACAUAAGAAGUGGAAAUUUGCUUCUGUCUUAGUUUGGCCUUGAUAUAGGACAGCUCAUAGGAAAGCAUCCAAAACAAUAUUCUUUUUAUUUUUUUUAUUUGAAUACAAGCGAUAUUAGGAGUGUGGGGAUUUGAACACAUGAUUUAGGGUACAGGGUAAUGCUCUUAACUAUAUGAGUUACAAGUCCCUUGCAAACAGUCUGAAAUACUAAAAAUAAAAAAUAGAUGCUCAUCCAUAUGCACUGUCAUGCCCCAACCCUUGGAUUUACAAAACCUUGUGUUAAGACGUGAUUCACACCUUAAUUAUAGAAUUUAAUAAAAACUAUAACUAAAAUGUGAAGAAAACAUUUAAAUAAAUAAAAUAAAUAUUUCACAUAGAAUAUUCAGUGGAAAUGACAACAUGUGAAAUCUUAAAAAUUUUACAUUAUCUUACAAGUUGGCGUGACUUGUGGAUAUUGACUUACUUUCCUUACACACCAAGAAUUCCUAUUAUAAUUGUAAUUGAUUUACUUUAAUUCAUGAUUUCCUACUGUAAAUAGAUUUAAGAAUUUAUUAUUUACUUGCCCAUUCAGGUUUCGUUGUAUUAUAAAUAUGACCUCCUACAAGGAGAAGAACAUACAGAAAAUUCCCACAAACAAAUAUUCUCUCAUAGUUUUCAUAUUUUAGCAUGGUAUCAGAGCGGCAAUCUUGGAAUUGCUGACUCUAGUUUCAAACCCCCGCCGCCGCUAUGGGGGUUGAUGAUUUUUUCAACCAUCAUGGAGGUAGCACCAUCGACUCCUUCUCUCAUUCUCAACUAACCAUCGUUGAGUUGAGUGCCCAGAUGGCUCCGCUCCUACAGAUGCAGACUUUGACCCCAAACCCGAUCCAGAAUCAGGAUCUUCUUUCGACAACCACGACCCCGAUCUCGACUAUGACAACGACGACCCCGACCCCUACUCUGAAGAUGACCCCGACCCCCACUCCGAUGACCCCAACCCCGAAUUUGUCUCUGAUUCAGAACCCGAUCCCGAUUUCGACUCCGACUCCGGCCUCGACUCAGGCUCAGAUUUCGAUCCAAAUUCCUACUCAACUUAUAUCCUAUGCAUCUUCCGCUGCACAGAUUAUGACUUCUAGACUAACGACCCCGACAUAUGGACCAGAUUGCACAUAUUGUGGUGAUCCGAGACACACUUGUGAGACUUGUUUUAAAUCGCAUGGCUACCCCGAUUGGUGGGCUAUUCUUACAGAUCAAGGACAAUGCACCAGUAAUGGUACUGGUUAUGGAUUCCAUACUUCCGAUAAGAUUGAUUCCAGGAGCUGGAUAAUUGAUUCUGGUGCAACUGAUCAUAUGACGUUUGAUCCUGAUGAUUUUCUGAAUACUACACAACCUCGACGAACUUGUAUUGCAAAUGCCAAUGGUGUUACUUAUCCUGUGACAGGGGCUGGCACUGUUGCACUCUCAUCCUCUCUCACACUGUCUAAUACUUUACUUGUUCCAUUUUUAUCCACUAAAUUGUUGUUAGUUAGUCAGCUUACUAAACAAUUGAAGUGUUGUGUACUCAUUUACCUGAGUUUUUGUUUGCUUCAGGAUAUUCACACUAAGGAGAUUCUUGGUCGUGGUACUAAGAGAGGGGGGCUAUAUUAUGUCGAUGACUUCAGUUCCGGCGUGCCUAACAGUGUGACACAUCCCUUUGAUAGCAAACAAAAGCAAAUUUGGUUGUGGCACCUUCGAUUGGGACAUCCGUCUUUCAGUUAUAUGAAGCAUCUUAUACCAGAUUUAUUCUUAGGUUUCAAGGACUCCGACUUCACAUGUGAUACUUGUAUUUUGGCUAACAGUCACCGUGUGCCCUACCUGUUGAGUACGAACAAGUGUACUUGUAAGAUCCCACAUCAACCAACGGAGAGGGGGUGAUGUGCCUUAUAUAUGCACACCUGCAUCCAUCUAGCACGAGGCCUUUUGGGAGCUCACUGGCUUCGGAGUCGUAGGAACUCCGAAGUUAAGCGAGUUGGGGGCUAGAGCAAUCCCAGGAUGGGUGAUCCACUGGGAAGUUGCUCGUGAGCUCCUAGAAACAAAACCGUGAGGGCAGAGAGAGGGGCCCAAAGCGGACAAUAUCGUGCUACGGCGGAGUUGAUCCCGAGAUGUGACAAUUUGGUAUCAGAGCCACUCUGCCGUGUGGUGCGAAUGUGCCGACGAGGACUUCGGGCCCUUAAGGGGGGUGGAUUGUAAGAUCCCACAUCAACCAACGGAGAGGGGGUGAUGUGCCUUAUAUAUGCACACCUGCAUCCAUCUAGCAUGAGACCUUUUGGGAGCUCACUGGCUUCGGAGUUGUAGGAACUCCGACGUUAAGCGAGUUGGGGGCUAGAGCAAUCCCAGGAUGGGUGACCCACUGGGAAGUUGCUCGUGAGUUCCCAGAAACAAAACCGUGAGGGCCAGAGAGGGGGGCCCAAAGCUGAUAAUAUCGUGCUACGGCGGAGCCGAUCCCGGGAUGUGACAAUUGUACUACUCCAUUUACGUUAAUUCACUCUGAUGUCUUGGGACCUUCGCCUAUCACUGCUCCUUCUGGUGUUCGAUGGUUUGUCACAUUCAUCGAUGAUUGUAUACAGAUGACAUGGCUUUAUUUGCUGAAGAAUAAAAACGAAGUGUUUUCCCGUUUUCAGUCCUUCCACAAACAGAUGAAAACUCAGUUUAAUGCUCAAAUCCAGAUUCUUCGCUCAGACAAUGGUGGAGAAUUUGUCAAUCAUGACUUUCAGACUUACUUCCAACAACAUGGAAUUAUCCAUGAGACGACUUGUCCUCAGACACCACAACAAAAUUGUGUUGUUGAACGAAAGAAUUGACAUCUUCUUGAAACCGCCCAAGCACUUCUGAUUGGCGCUCAUGUUCCUCGCUAUCACUGGGAUGAUGCUAUUGUCACCGCAGUUCACCUGAUCAACCGCAUGCCUUCUGGUGUAUUGACCUUUAAAACUCCCUUACAGGUGCUUGCGCAACACAGACCUCUGCUCUCUGUUUUGGUACUCACACCCCGAAUCUUUGGAUGUGUGGCUUUCGUUCAUCUCCACAAAAAUCAACGUAGCAAACUUGAUCCCUGUGCGCUUCGUUGUGUUUUUAUAGGUUAUGCCACUCAUCAGAAAGGCUACCGUUGUUAUCACCCUCCUACCCAACGAACCUAUGUCACUUUGGAUGUGACCUUUCUGGAAUCUGAGUUGUUCUUCCAUGACCCAUCAUCCAAUUCUACGCAUCAGGGGGGGAUACGAAGUGAAGAGCAGAAUUGAAGCAACUUGGGAAAUAAAGAAAUUUUCCUCUGUACAGAAAUGAUUAAUCAUCCUGAGUCUGGAGCACGAGAUUACUCUCUGUCGAAAAGCAACCAAUCGCCCAUUCAUAGCGAUCAAUUGCCUCACCUACCUGAUCCAUGUGAAGAUAUUUUUGAUCCGAGUCUCACACCUACAGACAAUACAGAACAACAAGAUGAAGACUCCCCCUCUAACUCAACAGUACCAACAGACCAAUCUCCUGAGAAUAUCCUUGAGGUAACUACUCCUACUAGAUUUGUGCAUUUAAAUGAUUAAACUAUUGGAUAUCAAUUACCUUUCAGGGAAAAUCGUGGGAAGCCAUCAAACCGUUAUGCACCUGAUAUUGGCAAGACAUCCAAGUAUCCAAUUGCAAAUCAUGUAUCCACUGAGAAGCUGUCUGAACAACUCAAGGCUUUUGUGCAUCAGUUGUCUGCGAUCCAUAUUCCAACCAAGGUCUCUGAAGCAUUAAAAUAUCCUAAGUGGGUCCAAGCUAUAAAAGAGGAGAUGAAAGCUCUUGAGAAAAAUCAGACUUGGACAUUAGAGACUAUACCUCGAGGAAAAAAGACUAUCAGAUGUAGAUGGGUGUUUACUAUAAAACACAAUGUAGAUGGAUCUAUCGAGCAAUACAAGGCAAGACUUGUGGAAAAAGGGUACACACAGACAUAUGGUAUAGACUAUGAAGAAACCUUUGCUCCAGUUGCAAAGUCAAACACCAUCAGAGUCUUAUUGUCCCUUGCAGCUAAUUUGGAUUGGCCACUACACCAGUUUGAUGUAAAGAAUGCUUUUCUACAUGGCGUACUCACGGAGGAGGUGUACAUUUACAUUCCUCCUGGAUAUAAUACUACUUAGACUGGAACAGUUUGCAGGUUACGAAAAGCAUUGUAUGGAUUGAAACAGUCACCACGUGCAUGGUUUGGACAGUUCACCAUGGCAAUGAAGAACAAUGGUUCAAACAGUGCAACUCAGAUCAUACUCUACUCUUGAAACAUCGAAAAGGGAAGGUAACAACAUUAAUAAUCUAUGUUGAUGAUAUGAUUAUUACUGGGAAUGAUAAACAGGAAAUAUCACAGCUACAAGACUAUCUGGCUACGGAGUUUGAGAUGAUGGAUCUAGGUGGACUCAAGUAUUUCUUGGGAAUUGAGGUGGCUCGAUCCCAGCAAGGCAUAUUUCUCUCUCAAAGGAAAUAUGUCUUGGACUUGUUGACAGACACAUGAAUGCUAGAUUGUAAACCUGCGAACACUCAUAUUGUUCAGAAUCAUCAUCUUGGAGAAUAUCAUGAUCAAGUUCCAACUAACAAAGAAAGAUACCAAAGGUUAGUAGGAAGAUUGAUCUAUUUGUCACAUACUUGACCAAACAUUACUUAUGCAAUGAGCGUUGUCAGUCAAUUUAUGCACUCUCCAAGUGAAGACCACACGAAUGCAGUUCUUCGGAUACUUAGAUAUUUGAAGUCUGCACCUGAAAAAGGACUUAUUUUCUGAAAGCAUGGUCAUAUAAAUAUUGAUGGUUAUUCAGAUGUAAUGUAACAGAUAGAAAAUCCACAUCCGGUUACUUAACAUUCAUGGGAGGUAAUUUGGUGACAUGGAGGAGCAAGAAACAGAAUGUAGUAGCUUUAUCCAGUGCAGAAGCCGAGUUCAGAGGCAUGACUAAAGGAAUUUGUGAACUUCUUUGGUUAAGAAAGUUGCUUACUGAACUUGGGUAUAAACCUACAUCCACAAUGAUUCUCUUUUGUGACAACAAGGCUGUUAUAGCCAUUGCACAGAAUCCGGUUCAGCAUGAUCGUACUAAACAUGUUGAGGAGGAUCGACACUUCAUCAAACAGAAGCUUGAGGCUAAAAUGUUUCAGUUUUCUUUUGUGAAAUCCGAGGAUCAAUUGGCGGAUAUUUUGACAAAGGUGAUUUCCAGUAAAACAUUCCACAAUUCACUGGAUCAGUUAGGCAUUGGCGAUAUCUAUGCACCAACGUGAGGGGAAGUGUUGGCGUGACUUGUGGAUAUUGACUUACUUUCCUUACACACCAAGAAUUCCUAUUAUAAUUGUAAUUGAUUUACUUUAAUUCCUGAUUUCCUAUUGUAAAUAGAUUUAGGAAUUUAUUAUUUACUUGCCCAUUCAGGUUUCGUUGUAUUAUAAAUAUGACCUCCUACAAGGAGAAUAACAUACAGAAAAUUCCCACAAACAAAUAUUCUCUUAUAGUUUUCAUAUUUUAGCAAGAACUACUCGAGAGUUUACUAAAAGAGUAGUUCAGUAUUCAUCCACAAGCUAUAUACACAAUACACUCUAUAGAUAUGCCAAAAUCAUCGCAAGCUCUAGAUUUUAGGUUCGAUACCUGCAAAAUCUAUUAGAAGGGUGAGUGAAACCACAGUUUAGUAGGGACAUAAACCUUUUCACGGUAAACUGAUAUAAUUAAAUUAAGUGAAAAAUAAUCACACAGCCAAAUAUCACAUUAUUAAUAACAAUGCAUGAAUGCUCUUCAUUUAACCCGUUAAUUCAUAUAAUUAGACAAGCUUCACGACCCAUACCAUGCUUAUACCACUUAGUCCCGAAUGCCAAUUUAUAUGAAUUAACGCCCAUUUCAAUCAUCCCAUAAUUCCCAUUUUGUUAGUCAUCUUGUCUAACUCCCUGUUGCCAGUCCUGAAUCACCAAAAAAAAAAAACCAUGUGCACUAUGGGAUCCCUGAGUACUAGUACCUGGCAAGAGUUAGACUCAACUACACAAAAGAUCAUUUCUAUUACCCUCUUAUCCACCAUUAUUUUCUCAACUUCAGAAUUCUAGCCAAAUUCCAUGACAUGAUAUAAUUAAAAUUAUGCCUUCACAACAAUGUGCCCAUUUAAAACAUCACUAAUGCACAUAUAAUUAUGCCCACAUUGUUCAAAUAGUUAAGAGUACGUAAAUACCCAAUACAUGGAACGUCAAUCAAACAGUACCACGCAUAAUAUAAUGCUCAAGAAAUUUAAUUAAAUCAAUCUCUGUAAAAGGCCCCUAAGAAACCCCUGCCUUGAUACUAAAGCUUUUGCUAGACCUAUAAGGUGUUUUCCAAUUUUCCACCGCAUUCACAAACUCUGUCUUCUACUUUUUUUCUUACUUCUCUCUACCACUAUUUCUUUCUCGUUUUCUUUGUUUUCACUUGUUGUGCAACUUAAUGUCCUAUAUAUAUACAAGGAACAAGUCGGCAGUAAGUGAUUUCCUAUUGGAUGGUGUAUUCGGUUGUUAUAAACUUACUAGUAAUAGUUAUCAAUGUAGUUGCAGAUGAGGAAGAAUGUUUUUGUGACUCUUCCAAUCCCUCUAAUCCUAUUUCUUAUCUUCUUGGUGAGUUGAUAGCCUCGAUACUUAACAGAUUUUAUACUUUGACACGUAUUAACAAGAACUAUUUUAAAAACAUAUACAUAUAUAUAUAUAUAAUAGAAUAUGUAUAUAUGUAAUACACAUAUUUAUAUAUAAUAAGAAUAAUAUAUAUGUAAUAAGAUAUAAAUAUUUAUUAGAACAGUAUAUAAAAUAAUAUAUAUCAUUCUUAUUAUAACAAUAAUUUUAAUUUUCCCAAAAUAAUAUAUAUUUAAAAAUAUGUGGUUUCACAUGCAUGUCCUUUUUGCUAUAGACACUAUUACAAAAAUCGAAAUAGACAACGGAAAACUACCGUCGUCUGGAAAGUUUUCAAACAGUCGUGAAAUCGACUGUCGUCUCUUUUACAUAAAACAACGACGGCUAUUAACCAACGUCGUUAAUACAUUCCACGUAAAAAACUAUUAUAAACCGACGUGUAAUUACUAUAUAUAUAGCCUAAAAUAAAAUCUUCAACAACCUUAGACGACGGUUUUAUUAAAACUGACACGUCUAAAGAGUGUUACAUGUCAAGAUCAAAACAAGAACCGACGUACAGAUAAUUAUCCACGUCCUAAUUGAAGUAAAAUAGACUUGGAUAACCUAGAAACCGUCGUGGUUAACAUAUACUACGUUAAAUUAACAAAGGCACUUACGUCUAAAAAGUAAAAGACAACACGCGCACAAAGCAACAGACGUUUAAAGCUUAGUACAUGUCAAUAGCCGCUCAAUAACCGCAGUAAAAUGAAUUAACCACGUCCCACAUAUGGCAGAACUGUUGCUUAUGUGAUUAUCCACGUCGCGGAGUAGUAGAACAAAGACGUUGUAACCAUAUUCCACGUCUGUUUCUUGUGAGAAUUGUCGUUUAAAUUAUACAAAGAAGCCCCUUUGACAGAGUUAGACGUUGCUCUUGCUGUAGAACCGACUUCUAACAGGUUUAAAAUGACACAAUAUUACUUAAUACUGCCGUAACAAAUCAUAUCCACGACUGCUGUUGUCAAAGACUGACGUUACAAAAAAUAUUGAAGGUGUUGACAAAAAAGAACCGACAUGGAUUAUGCAUUCAACGUCGUGUGGUCUAAAAAUAAAGGACGUGGUUAAUUUUUUCUCUACGUCAAGUGGAUCCAAUUGCCUGAUGUUGUAAUUCUUUACCAUGUUGGUUUUUAAUACAUGAUGAUGUGGUUGUCCUUUUAAAAGUCGCUUGUUUUACCCUCCUUGACGUGUGUAUGAUAUGAGACGUCAAUUGUUUUAGACUAGCUGACGUGCAGAAAAUCUGUCACGACAAUUAAUGCAACUGAAUUGCCUCUAUUUCCCCCAGACGACGGUAGGUUUUAAGUGUGGAAGUAGUGUUUUACAAAAUCGUAAGUUGGAGUAAUCUACCAUCGUGUUAUUCGAGAAUAUACCACGAUCUUUGUUUUGUACUCGGUCGCUGAUGUUUAUACUACUUAAUAAACUGACAUGUUUUCAGUUUCAGACGGCGGCUUUUGUUUCUUUAUGGUCUUUUGCAUUUUUUUUCCAUGACAUUUUUGAAAGCCUAAUGUUGGUUUUAUUUUAGAAAUCGAUUUUUCCCCUUUUUUUACUGGACCGUCGUACUUUACACAUUUAAUCAAUUUUUUUCAAUUUUUGAUUCAUCGUGCCCAAAGCCUACAUAACGAAAAUGUGAUCAGAAUUAAAAUGAUGUACAAAGGUAUUAAUUAAUGUCAUACAAUUAACUGAAUAACUAAUGUCAUACACUACAACAAUCAAUCAAUCCAUAUAUCUUCACACCCAUCUUUAAUAUUUUCACUCCCAAACUCACCCACUAGGUCAUCAUAUGUGUCAACAUUUGGUAUCCCUCUAGUAAAUGUCUCACACUCAAUUCUAAUAUCACCUAGCACAUCAUCACCAAUAACAUUAUUAUAUUCUCUAUUAUGCAUUGAUAACACUACCGACCAACCACGAUGCAUUGGGUCGUCAGCAUAAAAUACUUGUUUUGGUCAUUCCUAUGUCCAAUUUUACUCAAAUCUACAAAGGUGAAUCCAAGUUCAUCGACAACAAGGCCCAAAGUGUUAUCUAUCCAAUCACACCUCAAGACAAGGAUUCUAAACUUUUGGUAGUCAAGGUCCCAAAUUUCUUGAAUAACACCAUAAAAACCCAUAUUGGAGACAAUAGAGUUUUUAUCCUUAGCACUAGCAACUUGCAUAGUAUGUGCAAGUAAAUAAACUCCACUAUUUUGGACAGUUCGCAUAUCAUCUUGUGCCUUGGUGUUAAAUUUAACACCAUUAAUAAGAUAGCUCCUAUAUGAUGGCAUUGCCAUGCUUGGACUAGCUGCUAGCCACCUCAAAUUUUAUGAUACGCCAUUAUGCUCUUCCCCAUUAAGUUCACUUUGAACUUGCAAAUUAAUCGUAUAUAUCCUAAUUCGAUCUAACAUAUAAAAAGGAAGAAAAUUAAAAGUUGAAUAUGUCAUUCAAUAACAUAUAUACUUGAAAGUGUAGCCAUUGAAUGAAAGUGCUAUUGUGCUUAUCUUGCAGCCACUUUGUUCUCUUUCUAAAUAUUGGAUAAGUGGUCUUGAUGUGGAUCAUAUGUUCCAUACAUUGACACGAAAAAAUCAAGCAUUACGGUCCCUUGUAUAUAAGAUAACAUAAGGAAUAAUAAUAUUUAAAAUGGCUCUAUAUGAAAAAUGGAACUCAUGCGUACUCGAUAUAAGGUAGGACUUCCUCAGUAUUCUCCAAGACAUAUAGAUGUGUCUGGUUCAAAAAACCCGAUCACCUAAGCUUACUGUGCAACCAGAUAAUGGCUUUGAAACUCCCAUCUUCUAGCUUGAAGGCACUCCAACUGUACUAACAUCAGAUAAAUGCUCGGUGCAAAACUCUACAACUUCUUCAGCUAUAUACCGCUCAAUAAUGCAACAUCCGGGACGAGUACGGUUCUGAACAAACCUAUUUAGCACUUUCAUAUGUCUUUCAAAUGGAUACAUCCAUCUAAAAUAUACUGGCCCAUGUAGACGAACUUCUCUGACAAGAUGUACUACUAGAUGAACCAUGAUAUCAAAGAAUGAAGGGGGAAAGUACUUCUCAAGCAAACGCAACGUAACUACUACAUCUUCUUCCAAAUUAUCUAGCUUGGAAACAUCUACUGUCUUUGCACAUAUAGCAUUGAAGAAGAAGCACAAUCGAGUUAUUGCAUACCUUGCAGGCUUCUCCAAACAGAACGAAUUGCCACAGGGAGCAAUUGUUGCAUCAAGGCAUGAAAAUUAUGAGAUUUAAGGCCAAGAAGUCUUGAAUAUUUUUAAGAUACAAGAUUUUUUUAUAUUUGAACAAUAACCUUCAGGGACUUUCAUACCAUAGAAAGAAUUGCAAACCGCUCUCUUAUCUGCUCUUGACAAAUUCUAGGGCCUUGGAGGCAAGCGAGUACGUCUUUCUCAAUACUCGGGUUGCAAAUCAUUUUUGACCCCCAUGUUCAAUAAAUCUAACCGAACAGCAAUCUCAUCUUUAUUUUUUCUAGGGAUCUCCAGCAAUGUACCAAUGAUACUAUCGCAAACAUUCUUCUCAAUAUGCAUAACAUCUUGGACAUGCCUCAUAGGAAGGUAUUUCAAAUACUCGAGAUCAAAGAAUUUUGAUUUCUUAUUCCAACAAACUCUGUCACCAUCAUUCUCAAAAACACUUCCCCCAUUUUUCGAGCCCCAUAUGUAAUUAAUAUCUUCAACCAUGUCCUAUUCAAGUUAAUGGUUCGGGAGGCGUGCCAUAUUCAAGUUUUCCAUUGAAAGCUGCACGCUACCUCCGACAUGGAUGAUUGAUUGGUAACCAUUUUUUAUGACCAAUGUAACAAAUUUUGGGGCCAUUUUCAACCUGUGACUAGGUGUAUCAUCGCCGCAUAUUGGACAAGCUUUAUAUCCUUUAACGACACUGUAACACCCCGACUCUAAAUUAAUCCCUUAUUUAAUUAUUUAAAGAAAAUUACAAAUUUACCCUUAAGAUAGGGGUAUUUUGGUCAUUUUCUUACCCGAAGAGAGUUUGGGGCAGUGACUAGUAUUUUUGGAUAGGUCGUACUGAGACGAGUUCAUAGACACGUAGUGGGCUCGAAUCGAAGUUGUAACGAGAGAGAUAUGGUCAAAAGAAACCCAAUUGCACAAUCAUAAUUAUUUCGAAAUGAGAUUUUUAUAAAAAUCAGAUUUUUUUUUCUCUCUCUCUCUCUCUCCUCGUCGGUCUCUCUCCCUCUCCUCGAAACUCCGGCCAUCGGCCACGGCUGUGGACGGGGCCGGUACCAAAAUGACCGAGGCGUUGUCCUCCUCUAAUCCCAGCUAGGUCCCGCCGUCAGCCGCCAUGGUUUCGCCGGAAAAUGGAGAAGAAGCGGCCGGCGUCGUCCGAAGUUCUCCGCCGUUGAUCUCCCUCUUCCGGUCACCGAUUCCGACGAGUGAGGUAUGGUUUCUCACCUACUUUUCAUGCUCUAGCUGCCUGCUGGGUAUGAUUGGAUUGAUUUUUAGCGUAGGCAAUUCGAUUUUCGCAUUGAAAUUCGGCUAAUUUUGGAAUCACGAUUCCGGCUAGUUCUGGUCAGUUUUUGGGGUAGAUCCAAGAACAAAAGUGGCUCCAAAUAGGGUGUUAUACCUAGGGUAGGAGUUUGGAGCCAUGGUUUUGAGAUUUUCCGGCGAUACGUAAUCGCUUUAGACACCCAACGCUGCCCGCACGUGUGGCAGUGCGUGGGCGAGGGUAGUGAAAUAGCACUAUGUCUCGAUGAGAUCCUUAGGUUGUCACGAGUGCGUAGGAUUUCGCGGAUCUCAAUUCGGACGUCGUUUGACUAUCGAACGGAUUUUCGUAUAUUGCGCGUCAUCCGGGUUCGAUAGGUUGGGACCGUUGGAUGGUCUCGAAUAAAAUAUAUGUUAAUCUAGGUAUUUCUAGGAUCAUGUAGGAAUUCACGGAUUAUAAAUCGGAGCCCCGGAUAUUCCGAAUAAAUAAUUUAAAGUUUAUGUUUUAUAAUAACCGUCACAUCGUGCGAUCGUGAGCGAUCCGACCGGCCGAUCUGGACCAAACUUACAGAACGAGUGUCCUAUACCUUGAAGAACCCAUAGGAAUUUUCAGAUCGAAAUUUGGAGGUCGUGGGCCCCGUGGGCCCAUUUGACUAGGGGUAGGGUAGUUUGACCCUUAGUUGACCGUGAGUCUCCCGGAGUAAUCUCACCUUUCCAGGGGGAUUAUCGGGUGCUAGACUGUUGUUGAGGUUUACACGAUAUUAGUAGUAAAUUAUAUAUUUAUAUACAUUUGUAAAGGUAAAAAAUAAGUCCAGAAUGUCAGUUUGAAGUGCUUUACGCACUACCUUAGGUACCUCCCCGGAUUUUAGUUACACUACAAGUACCACCCUAUGAAAGUUAGGUCCCACGUGGCGUAGGUUAUCCGGCGUGCGGACAGGCCCUAUACGUGGCAUUGGUAGUAUCGGUGUAUGGGGAGAUUACGUGAUAAUAUGUUGAGGUCACACGUGGCGUAGGUUAUCCGGCGUGUUGACAGACCCCAUACGUGGCGUUGGUUGUACCGGCGUAUGAGGAGAUAUUGUGAUAUGAUAUUCAGGUCUCGCGUGGCGUAGGUUAUCCAGCGUUGAGACAGACCCCAUACGUGGCGUUGGUUCUACCGGCGUAUAAGGAGUUUAUGUGAUAUUAUGUUGAAGUCGCGCGUGGCGUAGGUUAUCCGGUGUGUCGACAGACCCCAUACGUGGUGUUGGUUGUACCGGCGUAUGGGGAGAUAUGUGAUAUGAUGUGCAGGUCUCGCGUGGCGUAGGUUAUCCGGCGUUGAGACAGACCCCAUAUGUGGCGUUAGUUGUACCGGCGUAUGGGAAGAUAUUGUGAUAUGAUAUUCAGGUCUCGGGUGGCGUAGGUUAUCCGGCGUGUUGACAGGCCCCAUACGUGGCGUUGGUAGUACCGGUAUAUGGGGAGAUUAUGUGAAAUACAGAGAAAUGAAAUAAGGUAUUGCCUAUGUGUGGAAUUGGGUUUUAAGGAAGAACUACGUGUGGCUUGAUCCCUCAGGGAGGGUACGUAGGCAGCCUAAGGUUAUUAGGUGUAGCCGCGGACAUAGACGUGAUUGUGUUAGGAGGUUAAAACCUCGUAUGUUGAAAUUGAGAAAAUUAGAUGAUGUAUGUUGAAAUUUAGUAGUCGUAAUUUAUAUUUAAAUUUAUCGUUUGCCUUGUUUAAGGCAUGAAUUGAUUUGCUAGCAUGCUUGGUAGUUGAGAAUUAUAGAAAGGCCGAAGGCCGUUUAUGUGAAUUGCAUGGAAUUAUAUUGUGCAUGCUGCCAGUUGUAGUUAUUAAAUGUGUUUUUAUGCAGGUUGAAAUUUUGGGAAAUGUCCAAUUUACAGGGGAGACUCUGCCGAAAUUUCGGCAGAAAGUCUCGGUCUUUAGUAAGUGGGCCUGACAUCGAGGUGAUGUCGGGGAAUCCACAGGAUCCGCCUCGAUUUUUGGAAAAAUCGGGGCGGUUCCUUUCAGACACAACCAGAUAAGUUCUCAUAGGCAGAAAAAUCAUUAAUUGUUCACAGUAAUACACCUAUGAGUGUAAAGUAAUCUCCUAUGUGUGCAUCAUACACUCCUUUAAUCCCAUCCCACAAAGAUUUUAAAUCAUCAAUCAGAGGCUCUAAGUAGACAUCUAUAUCAUUUCCAUUCUAUUUAGGACCAGAAAUCAAUAAGGUCAAUAUCAUGAACUUCCAUUUCAUGCAUAGCCAUGGUGGGAGAUUAUAUGUAACUAAGAUAACCAACAAUUGUAUCUGCUACUUAAAGAACUGUGGGGAUUGAAUCCAUCAGAUGAGAGAGCCAAUCUCAAGUUUCUUGGCUCUUUACUGAACUCGGGCCAUUUAUCAUCAACAAGUUUUUAAGACGGGAAAUUCGCUGGAUGAGACAUAUGACCGUCAAUUGCUUUUCUAGCAACAUGCCAAGUCAAACUCUUAGCUGUCAUAUGUGAUUGAAACAUCCUUUUAAACCUUGGAAUUGGAGGAAAAUACCACACCACCUUCGCUGGCACACUCUUUUUCAAGAUUGAAUCUUUGCAUUCCUUCCACCUUGAGAUACCACAAGUAGGACAAUUAGUUGAAUCUUCAUAAUCAUUCCUAUACAAGAUGCAGUCAUUGGGACAUGCAUGGAUAUUCUCAUAACUCAUCCCUAAAGGAGAUAAUGUCUUUUUUGCCUCGUACAUAGAGGAAUAUAGUGUCUUUCCUUCUGGAAGCAAAUCUCCUUGAAGUAUCAAUAAUUCUAUAAAACAAACAUCACUCAUCCCAUGUUUUGCUUUCAAAUUAUAUAACUUCACCAAAGCCGACAACAUCGUGUACUUACUGCAACCAGGGUACAAGGAUUGAUCUCAAUCCCCAAUCACAUUGGCAAACUCAUAAGGAUCAAAUCCAAUAUCGCCUAAAUCAUUAUCAUCCAUCCCUACUUCUUUAGAAACAAAACUGAACCUACUUUGCUCAUCUUCUUCCACAUUUCUACUAGCAUUAGUAGUCAAUUCCCAAGGUUCUCCGUGCCAUGUGCAAAUCUGAUAGCUUUAGUCAAUUCCAUUAAAGUAUAAGUGGUCCCUCAUAAUUCCAACCCCAAACAAUCGAAUAUUCCCACAUUUAACACAUGGACAACGAAUAUGAGUUGUAUUUCCAAGAUUUUCUACAGCAAAAUUCAAAAAUCCUUCCACCCCUAACUCAUAUGCCUUCGGUCUUCUAUCCGCAUGCAUCCAUGACUUAUCCAUCUCACACACUAUAAAAUCAUAUAUAUAAUAAAGUGAAAAGACCAGCAAUGAAACACUACUUUAUUCACAUAGCAAAGAAUGAAUUGAAAAAAAAAAUUAACCAAGAAUCAGACGACGGUUUUUACAAAAAAAAUCGUCCUGUAACAGAGGGUCAGACGACGGCAUAUCUAGUUAUCGACGUCUUUAAGCUACCCAAACCCAGAUAUUUGUAUUGCUUUUUGAAGAACCGGGUUCUGGGUUCUGGUAAACAAAAGAUGACGGUAAAUGGAGAAACACCGACGUAUCCUAAAACUUGAGACGACGGUUUAUUUCACCAACCGUCGUCGUAGUUUACGAAAAACAGAAGUCUAAAUCUCCCAUCCUCAUUCCUUUUCUAAGAACCCUUAACAAAAUGCAAACAUCAAAAUAUAAAAGAGCCAUAUAUAGCUCCCAAUUAAGAAACCAAAGCUACCAAAACAUAUAUUAAUAAACCAAAGCUACCAAAAUGAACGAAAACAUUUAUGGGUUUUACAAACUAAGAGAAUAUUGAGAGAGAGCUGAGAGAAUAUACUUACAUGGAUAUUGAGAGAGAGCUGAGAGAAUAUAACAAAUGCUUGAGAGAGAGCUUAGAGAAUAUACACAAUGCUUUGAGAGAGAGCGAAAAAUUUAAGACAAAUUUAUGUUGAAGAGAGAGAAGGAAAUAUUUUAGGGUUAAAGGGAAAUUCUGAAAAUUUUAGAUCACCGUCAAAAUUUUCAAAGGACCGCGUUUUUCAAAGACGGCUAAGGAAAACUACCGCCAUUGUAAAUCAUUUUACUACGACGGUUGAGGAAAACUACCGCCAUUGUAAAUCAUUUUUAUGUCGCCUCUAUAAAAACCGACGUCUAAAAUAUUAAAUAAUUAGAUUUGGUUUGCAUUUCGUGGGAUUCUAACGUGCGUAAUUGACCAAAAAGAGCGAGAGAAAACCAGCGUCGUUUCUAUAAAACCUAAACCCUAAACCCUAAACCCUAAACUCUAAAACCUAAACACUGAAAAAAUUAACCAAAAAUUGCUAUGGACUCCUUACAACAAUGCCUUCUAUAUUAGUAGGCUAAAAUCGGGAUUAAAUAAUUUUGAAUUUUAUGACCACCAAUGGAUCACAUAAACCUUAGGGUUAUGUUUAUGGAAAGUAUAAGGAUUAUUGUGUUUUGUCUCUAAAUCUUUUUUACUUUUGUUAUCACUUGUAACUUUGAAAUCUAAAAUUAAAAUUUUCAGGCCUUUAGGGGGGAGAUAUUGUCUCAAUGUGUUUAUAGAAUUUGAGACUGCGAAGGUUCUAGCUGAUUGACUAAGGAUGAGGCAGGAUGGAUGGAAGGUUUGCUUGGAGAUUCUACCUUUGUCAGCUCUUCUGGUUGACAUGUUGUUUAUUCUGCCUGAGGAACUACUUCUAGAUUUUUCCCUUUUCUAGCAGAACUAGUCUCUGGAAGUACUUGUGUGUCAUCCUUAUUCUUGAGGAAGACGCAGUAUUGCCUUUGAACUCUCCUCUUUUGCAUUCUGGUUAGCUUCAGAGUUGGUCUUCGGCUUUUUCCAAUAGAAUAUCAUCUACCUUCUAUGAUAGUUGCAAAGGGCUUGUCAUUUCCAGGCAUCUUAACUGGUAUUUCCUUCUUUGGCUGCUCUAUUAUUCUCUUGUUGCGUUGGGCAGGCCUUAAAUAGUCCUUCUGUCUGGCUCUAUCUCUAGGUGGAGCCGGAACUAGGCCUUGUUGGUAUGAUGUUCCAAUCCUGUCAAAAACACAAGGUGUGGGCUGACUUUGCCUAACCAGAGUUACCUCUAACUCACUUUCACAUUUGCACCUGUUGCACAAAACUACCCCAGCCGAAAUGGUUGCUUUUGGUCUUCAAUUAGCCUAUCUUUGGACUCUUCUGCCUAUGCUGGGGCUAACUUUUGCUGUUAGUUUGCCUUUCUUUUGUUUUGGCCAAUUUAAGUUGACCAUGUUGACUUGAGGUUGGGGAAAAGGGUCUGUUGUUAUCGAAUGAGGUUUCUCAGCCAGUUUUAGCCUCCAUGCUGUUAUUCCUUCCUGUAUGACGUCCCUGAAAACAACACAACUAUUGGUGGAAUGGUCCCAGGAGUUAUGCCAUCUGCAAUACUGUCUGCCCUUGAGUUCCUCUAGCUUGGGCAACUUGUAGGGUGUUUCUAUUGCCUUCUGUCGCAGCAUGUCAUCAAACAGGGCAUCAACCUUGGUUAAAUCGAGGGAAUAGACUUUGUUAUGAGCUGGUUUGUUUGGAACAAACCCUCUUGUGAAUGGUGGUGGCUUUUGGUCCUUUGGUGGCUUUGUUAAAGCCUUGCAACUGAUGAGAUGUUUUAAUUUCCCCAUUUCUGCCACUGCAACUUCUCUCUCCUCCGAGCUUUCUAUGCCUUCUUCUGAUUCUACCUCAACAAGAUUUACUGAAGAGGAUGGGGUUUUGUAAUAUGUGCCUUUGAAAGAGUUCCUCUUCUAUUGUUCUUCCCUGAGCAGCUCCUUGUAUUUAGAUGCUUUGUCUGCUAGUUCUGCCAGAUCUCCAAACAGCAUCCCAUCAAAUUUUUUUCUCAGAGAGAUUUUAAGGGAGAUUUGAGCCAUUUGGAUGAAGUGCCCUUCCUCCAUAGGGAUUCAAAAUUUCAUUUUGAGCUUUUUGAACCUGGUUAUGAAGUCUUGGGCAGGCUCAUCUUCCCUCUAUUUCCAGGUUUGAGGGCAGCAAGAUCACUGAUGGUGACUUCUGGCUGAAUCCUAAAAUAGUAGUCAUGGAAGACAUUUUCCAUCUAUUUCCAGGUUUGAACAGAAUUGGCUGGUAAGCUAGUAUAUUAGAUGAAGGCUUGUCCAGAGAGAGAAUUUCGAAAAAGCCUUAGUUUUAACAGAAGGUUAUUUUCUAUGGCUAUGCACUGGAAAGAGAAUCUGCCUAUAUGCUUAACUGAUGAAGCAUGGGUGUCUUCUCCGUUGAACAAGGUGAAGUGUGGUACCUUAAAGCCCAGGGAUAGAGGUAUUUGAUCGAUAUAAGCUGGAUAAGGCUUUCUGUAGGUGGGCCUUUCUCCUCUUCUGGCCUCAGGUUCCAUCAUCUCUCUGAUCAUUCUAUAAAGUGCCCCCAUGUCAUUCAAAGCAUUGACAUGAUGCGGGGUUCGCCCCUGUUCUGGCUAGUUGUGUUCAAUCCUUUGUUCUACUUUAUAUGGCCUGGGCAGAACUUCCUCCCUAUGCUCUUCCUCUUUUUCGAAAUCUGGAUGAUUCCUUUAGUUUGCCCCCGGUCUGUUUUUGUCAUUGUUGGCAAAGGGUUUAACUCCUACUCUACCUCUCAUGCCACUUGCUAGUGGAGGGAAUGGAUUGGGGUCCAUCCUUCUAGGUCUGUAGGGCAACACAACUGGUUGCUCAGGCAGAAGUGCCAAGGCCUGAUCACGUGGGGCCACUAGUUGUGGAAUAGGUGGAGGUUCUGGCUAGUUCUGAGGGGGUCUGAACUGGUGCAGAGCCUUCUGGAUGAACUGAAUCCUCAUGUUCUUGGAUGGGAAGGGCUCCUCCCCUCUGUCCAGCUUGGAUUUCUCCAUGUCCUGGUAUUCCAGCUAUCUGUGUGAUGAGAGGCUUCUCUUCAUAUGGCCAUGCCAGUCCUGGUAGAGGUCCAAAAGGGAGAUCUAGCUGCUGGACCACCAUGUCUAGGUUUGGAAUUUUGGCAAUAGUAGCCUCACGGUCCUUCCUGAACUGCCUGUUGACUUGCCAUUACAUCAUGGUUGUCAUGUUGUUUAGAGUAUCUUGGCUCAUUUGUGCUGUGGCUUCUUGCCGAAACACAGCCUCCUGUAUCUAGUUUAACCUUCUGGAACCAGACAUGGAACGUCUACUCGUGGUACUGCCAUGGGCUGAUUACCUAGCAUCACUUUCUUUUGACUCAAGUCCUUUUCGGAGAGCUGCUUGAUCUCUUUUCAUGGCAUAGCGUGGAUUCUGGCUAGAACUUCCAAUAUUCAUAUACUAGAGGAUUUUUCUAGAAAUAUAUGUAUUGAGAAGUCCCACUGGGCGUGCCAAAUUGUUCAUCCGUUUUAGAUUUGUUCCUGUGAUGGUAGGGUAAAGUUCCUCAUUGACUUGAAAACCAUUGGUGGUCAAUAAGUCAACUUUCUUUUGUGUACAAAUGUGCCACUGCUAGCAAUAAAAACCCUAGCAGACUUCUUAAAAAUAGAAAACUUGUGCCCAAGUUAUUAACUUCUAAAUAAGCGAUUGUGAAUUUGGGCGAGGAAUAUCUCCCAAGUAAGUUCUUUUCUUUGCCUCAGAUUGGUGAGGACUUCACAAUUUUUCACAGUACAAAACUGGUAGUUCUAGCUAGAAUAAAUGAUAAGAAAGUGAACUGUUUUCAGGCAGAACUACCUUUUACAAAGCUUAAAAAGGAAGACCAACUCUAAAAAGACAAAAAGAGCUUUUGGACUUCAAUUUCUGCUUGGAUAAAUGCUUCUGAUCCGGGCUGGACUGGGUAUGUUUGUGCUGGACUGGACUAUCAACACCUUCAACUGUCAAGUUUUAGCUGUCAAUGAAUACCAAUGUUCGAGUGUGGCAAAGCUUCAAUCUAUUUCAAGCCGUGCAAGGCUUUUUGAACGGACAGAAUUGGAACCUCUUCAGUCUGGAAGGGGUAGAAGUGGCUGAAUUUGGUGAUUACUGAGCUGGAACUGCACUGUAGUACCUGUUCUGCUUGAUCAGGGCUCUCCAUAAAUUUGUUGAGGUUUUAAUAUUGGUAAAACCCGAAGCUUAUGUUGAACCAACUUUGUAACGAGAGAAAUCUUGCUUUGAAUGACUAUUUCUCUGAAACUAAACAGAAGUUAGAGAUUCUGGAAUAUAGCUGACUUGUUUCUUAUGGCUCAAUGAGCUUUUGGUUGCUUCAGUGUUUUGAAGGCUUUUGAGAUCAAGUGAUCAUUUUGAGUUUUUAUUUUUGAUUGAUUUUUUGGCUGUCCUUUUAUCUGUUCACCUCAUCUCAUAUUUAUAGAAUAUACUGGAGUGUGAUUUCUAAUCUUUUAAUAAUGGGCGGCAAAUCUUUUAAAAGAUCUUUUUUUCUUUUUUCAAUGUCAUAAGAGAAGGAAGCUACUAUUCUGACAGAGAAAGGUUGUCAACAAUCAUCUUUCAAUUUUUCUAUGUUCACUUUUUGUUCUUUGUAAAGAGAAAGAACACAAUCUACCAUGAUGGUCAGUGUGCUUUUCCUGUUGAACAACUCCCUCGUUCUCUACUUAUCUCUUGAAAACGUAGUCUGCUUAUCUCUUGGAAAGACCACCUGAUUUGGUGCAGAGCUUCUCUAUAUAUAUAUAUAUAUAAAGGGAUUUUGAUCUUCUUCUUUUGGCUGAAAAAAUAGAGAAGUCUUUCUGUAAGACCUGCCUUCAUUAAUUUUCUAUCAACUUCUCUGUAAUAGUUGAAAAUUUUGACUUUUCAAAGCCAGGUAUUCACGUGGGGUUGUUUAGAAAAGAUCUGUUGAUUUUGUCAAUCUUUUAGGGUAGAGAUUAAAUAGCGUAAAAAGGCUGGGCUAGUCUCUUUUUCUUAGUAGAUAAAAAGCCCAAAUAUUUUGUCUCACUGCCCUUUUCUGGAAAAUAAAUGGGCUGGGUGUGUUGGAAAUUGGCCCAAUCUUAAGAAAGACUCUGGUGGCUGCCCAAAAUUGACAUAGGCUUUUCUUGAUUUUGGGCUGGGCAUGCCAAAUUAGGCCCAAACAAUGCCCCUUAAGUCUGAAUUGUUUUUGGAAUAGUUUCAGACUUAAUGAUUUGGCCAUUAAUUUGUGCGCGCCAUUUCCUUCUGUUAGCCCACAUCUGCCACGUCUGCCUAUUAUGAUCAAGACUUCGUGGGAAAGUGGGCAGUUACUAGCUAGUUAUUAUCAGGUGGCGUCUUGUCUUCUUCUUCCCACGAUUUCGAGUCUUUCUAAGAAAUUUAAAAAGACCUCAGCUCCUGUUUACUCAAAACCUAACUUCUUCAGACCUUGAUUUUCCUCAGUUUUCUCAGAAUUUUUACCCUUUUCUGCGAUCAAACCCUGCUUCCUUUCAGUUUGAUUCCCCUAUCCUAGCUCAAAACCCGAAAAUGUCUUCUCCAAAAAAUCGUGCCCAGACUUCUUCUUAUUCUGUUCCUCCUACCUACAUUACUGGGGCCGGUGUUGAUAAGCAUGUGAUUGAAGUCCGGAGCAAGCUUCAUCCUUUUGCCCAGAACGUUCUGGACAAGAACGUGUUACAUUUGUUCGAGAACACUCUUGUUUUGGAGCCUCAUCGGUUUGGUUCUGUCCCGACUGAAAUGGCAGAAUUGUUUAAAGAAUAUACUGAAGCUCCUCUAUGCUUUCAGAGCUCUUUCGUAGAUUUCAGUUUUAUAUAUAAACUAUCGUGUUUCUCCCUAUAACAUGUCGUUUUUAAGAAUUGUUGUCAAUGUUUUAUUUCCUGCUACUAUAAGACGGCGAUUAUUUAUACAUAUGAGACGUGUAAAUUAGAAUGAGACGUCAGUCUUUGGGAUUUAAAUUAAGUUUUUACGAUUUAAUGUCAUUUUAGUUCAUAUAAGGACAUAAAUGUCCUAACCAAAAAUAUAUUUAUGUACAUUGUCAAUAAAUUAAAAUAAACCUAAACAUUGUUAAAAUAAAUUAGAUCACUUAUUAUUCUGUAAUUACUUGUUAACGAAUUCAGCCCAUUCCAACCUGACUUCGUCAAUAUGUUCUUAUACAUACUGAACUGGUUCCUUUUUCUUAUCAAACUGCAAAUAAAUAACAAAAACCAACGUGUUAUAAAGAUUACAACGACUGCUUUUAAAGAAAAAGUUGUGGUACUAAAAUAAAGAAUUUAUAUCUUAAGUUUUGCCUUUUACCUUCUUCUCAAAUGCUAGGCCUGGAUCAUGAAUUAUAUCUCUCAUGAAAUGCAUCACGUAAUAGCCACACUCUACAUUUGUUGGUUGUCGAGGAGUGCCAUGUAGAUUUUUCCAUAUGACUGAUUUACAUGAUGAUUAAUUGCCUGUGUGAGAGUUAUACAUUUUGAUUGAACUGUUUCAAGAAAAUGAAAAGUGUUAAUGAUAAAAAUAAAAAUCUAAAGCAAAAAUAUUAAACGUCGUGGUAAAUAAGUGAAGACGAUGGUUUUGUUAAAAAAGUGAUGUUGUAUUUCAUUUCAAACGUUGGUAAAUAAAAACCGUCGUUGUGUAGAAUUCUAACGUCGGUGACGAUGAAAAAUGACGUAUAACCAAAAAUUGUUUGUAAAUGAAAGUUGAACAGAAAAAAAUAAAACUUCCUUAAAUGAAAAACACAAACGACGUGGUAUUUCAAUUAAAAUGACGGUUUACAGAAAAUACUGACGUUGUAAAUGAUUUCAAACAUCGGUUUGAAGUUACCAUCGUGUUUUCAUUGUAACGUCGGUAUUAGAAAAAGCCGUAUAUCAUUCAAAUGCAAAUAAAAAAAUGUUAGAUUUUCAUAGAUAAACUUACAUAUUCACUAUAUUUCUCAUGUCCUCGUCAACAACGCGGUUUGGCAAUGAAUCCAUGUAAUAGAUAGUCUCCUUCGCUGGUCUCACAAUUAUUAACACCCAAUGACCCCUACACAUAAUGAUCCAUAUAGGUUAAAUAUACUAGAAAGAAAAAUAGGCAUCAAGUAUAGUUAAGGGGACUAACCUUGGAUUACAAGGCACCAUGUAAAAUUGAUCCCCAUUUGCGUUUUUCAGGCGGUCUGAGAGAUGUUUCAAACGGUAAGAUAACGUUCCAGAUUGAGAGCUGACUUGUCCAAGGUCCACGAAGCCAAUAAGGUUUACCAUAUUUUCUAUUUUUAAAUAGUCAAAUAGGCACCUAAAUAUAUGAAAUUCAAUUAAAUGAGAUUUUAACUUUAAAGAAAGGAAAUGUAUAAUGCAAUCACUGUGGAUCCAAUCUCAACCAUGGAAGGAAAUUGUAAAAUAUCUUCACACAAGAGGAAGGUAUCAUGGUUAAUGCCAAAGGCUUCCUCUGGAAUGUGAAUUCUAAUGGUCUCGUUAAUGGGCUUCAACUUGGUCUCGACAAAUUGAAAUAAGGCUAACAGAGGAGGUGGCAUGUCUAGCUUUGAGAGAUCCUGUUACAACAAAUAAAUAAAGAAAUAUAAGUUAGUUUGUACACUAAGUAAAAUAAACGACUCUAACUAAACCAAUCAAACCGACGUGGUAUAUAAUAUAAUCGACAGUUUCUAGAACAUACUGAAGGAGUAAAGGUUAUAGACGACGGUAAAGACAUAACCAUCGUUAUGUAAAUGUUCUAACGUCGCUGCAUUAUGGAAAGGUCGUCUAAUUAAAAUGCAGUGAAGCCUUUAUUGAAAUACACGACAGUUUAUAAAAUAAACACCGACGUAGUAAAAUACUGAGACGACGGUUAUCAGCAACGUCUAUUUGAAAUUAUAAAUCAGAAAAAAUCAAAUAUCAAAGAUUUUACCGUUUCAUCUUGCCAUUGUUUAGCAACAUCAGCAUCAUUCGUGGGAUUUUCUUCCUCCAAAACAAGGGGUCUCACAUUAGAGCAGCUUGCUUUGUCAGACAUUAGAUUUUUUGGAGUAAUUGGAGUUUUAUUGAGCAAGUUGGGAUCACAGUUGGGAAUUAGUUGACUGAAUUGUUUCAAUAAAAUUUCCCUCUCUGCUCUGACUGCCUCCAAAACAGUUUCUUUUGCCUUAGCUUUAAUCUUUUUGGUUUCUUCUCUCACUGCCUCCAUAACACUUUCCUUCAAUUUGUUAGCAAAUUUUACUCUCUGCUGUCUCGACAAAUUGAAGAAUUGAGUUGGGGAAACCCCAGCUCCAACACCUCUAACUCUCCCACCAUGCUCAGGGGUUCCCAAAGCCAAGGUCAAAAUAUCGUUGCUCUCAGAGACAGCAGAGUGCCCUCGGAAACUUGUUUUUUCAAAUCAUCCUAAAAGUGAGAGAGAGAGAGAGAGAAUGUUAGUGAGUGAACAGAUAGUAAAACAGAUUAAAUAAACAACUAUACAAAAAUAUUAACCGACGUGGUAAAGACUUUAAAAAACUGAAAUCAAUCCCCAAUAGUAACAGGGACCAUGCAGCAACGAUUUGGUUGACAGUAGUAUAGGUUGGAGAUGCUGUUGAUCAUUAGAUACUAUUUUUUUAAAUAUCAAUUCUGUAACAUCCAGACCUAAAAAAUUAAUGAUUUUGAUUUAAAAUUAAAUUUAAAUAAGCAAUUACGAAUUUACCCUUGGGGAAGGGGUAUUUUGGUAUUUUUUUUUUAUUCAGAAAGAGUUUGGGGCAGUGACUAGUAUUUUUGGGUAGAUCGUACUGAGACGAAUCCGUAGACACGCGGUAGGCCUGAAUCGGAGUUGUAACGAAGAAACGGUGACCAAAAUUAGUCCAGUGGCAAACUUGUAAAUAUUUUGAACUUGGGUGUAGAAAAAUCUGAAACUGGCUUCCUCUCUCCUGCGUGCACACGUCCUUCUCUCUCUCUCCUCUCUCUCUCCUCGAUACCAUCACUCUCUGUCUCUCUCUUCGAUUCUCUCAAUUCUGGCCACGGCAAGGGCCGGGACUGGUUCCGAUCAACUCCUCACAAAGCCCCGAACCAGAACCACCACUUUUCUUGGCCGGAAAGCUCGAGUUUCGCGUGGUAAUCUCGACUGGUUUGAACCAGUUUUCCUCCGUCAUUGUGCCGCCGCCAUCGCAGCCCAAUCUCGGUUAAACAAGUGAGGUUUCUUACUCUUUUUCCGAGCUCUAGCUGCCUGUUGGGUAGGAUUGGAUUGAUUUUUUGUCUAGGAUCCCGAUUUUGAAACCUAAGUUUUGACGAAUUUCAAAGUGAAAUUCCGGCCGGUUGCCGUCCUAAUUAGACCUCCCCGUAGUUGAAUAAAGUGAUCCUCGCUUCGAGUAGUAGCUAAGGUAGGAAUGGUGAAUUGCGGUGUGGAGUUUUUCCAUCACUGAAAAUUACUCUACACAUCCACGCGUUGCCAGGGCAUGUGGAGGCGCAUGGGCAAUGUGGUGAGACCACAUUUUAUCCUGAUGUAGUCUCCUAGUCCUCACGUGCGCGUAAGUGUGCUCGAAUUUCAAUUCGAAUGUUGUUUGACUAUCGAACGGAUUUAUGCAUAUUGUUUCUUAUCCGGGUUCAAUAUGUUCGGACCAUUGGAUCGAGUCCAAAUUUACGUAUGUUAAUCUAGGCACCCCUAGGAUCAUGUGCGAAUUCGCGGAUCGUGAAUCGGAGCCCCGAAUGUUCCGAUUCAAUAAUUUGAAGUUUAUGGUUUGCGAUAACCGUCAAUUUCUGACCAAACCUACAGGACGUGUUUCCUAAACCCGUAGUCGGACCUUAGAAUACUCGUUAUGCGUGCACGCACCGGGAACUUGAGAAAAUUAGUAUUUAAUUUGUAAAUUCCGUUUUGAAGUGAUUUUUUAUUAAUUAAGGGUGCGUAUCUCGAAAUAGGUGCUCCAUCACUAGCACGCAGCAGGUAGGACCCUCUUGAGGUCAGGCAGUGUGGGACUACUUGUGAGUGGACAUUUAUUUUAUAUAUGCAUUAUUUUCAAUGAUUGAAAGAAUAUGCAUGAAAUAUAUAUAUUUUUUGGAAUAAAGAUUGAGAAAUUCAUAUGUUGUUAUAUCAGUAUUAUUUAAUUUAGAAUUUGGUUUGAUUUGAUGAUGAGUUAUAUAAAGGUCAAGUUAUUCGUGAUUAAGUCUUGGAUGAAUUUUGGGGGAAUCGGGAAUUGAAUAUUAUGGUUUAUGGUGGGAACUUAUAUGAUUACACUGUGUGGAGUACCAUCCCCUAGUUACUAGGCUUCCCACAUGUGGCGUUGGAAAUUUUCCAGCGUGUGAUGAUGUAGUCUGCACGCAUAGGACUUAGUAUUGGAGCUACACGUGGCGUUGGAAUUUCCGGCAUGUAAGCUAUGGAGUUUCGUCCCCCGGUUGGACCGCUCAUCCCUAGACGCAGGAUAGCAACUGAAAAUCUUGCGGGUUAGCCAAACAAUCCCCCGGUUGGAUUGUUUCCCCGGUACCUAAGUAGUGUGAUAAAUAUUAUGUAUAUUUAUAGAUAUAUAUAUUUCUAUGUGUGUGUGUGUGUGUGUGUGUGUGUGUGUGUGAGUAUAAAUCAGUUAAAGUAUAUGUAGUGGUUGGGUAAGAGCAGUAUAAAUUUUGGGGAUAAAGUUUAUGGAUAGAGUGAUUGAUCUCAAAGGGUUUCGGAGAAUGAUGUUUUUGAUCAUUAAAUAAAAGUUAUGAAUCUGCAUGUCUUGAGCAUUAUUUUUAGACGGUGGGGUUAUUAUGUUGUUUUGAAUGCAAAUUUUGUUUUUCCACUCACAUGUUUUCUGUUUUGCGCCCCCCAAACAGUAGUCGCUCAAGGGAGAGUUGCAAGCCAUGUUCGAGGCCCCGAACUGUGAACAUCAGUAGAUUAGGUUUCGAGUAAUUUCUUUCUACUCAACUGGAUGUUCUUGUAAACUAAAUUCGUUAGAUGCUCUAUUAUUGCCCCUGUUAGGUUUUACUUGUGAGGCCAGAGGCCAUUUAGUUUAUACUGUUGAAUAAUAAAUGCAUGCUGCUGGUUGGGAUUAUAUUGUGCUUAUGCAGGUUGAAAUUUUUGGGAUUGUUCAAUUUACAUGGGAGACUCUAGCAAAAUUUUAGUAGAGAGUCUCGGUUUUUAAUAAGUGGGCCAGGCAUCGGGGUAAUGUCGGAAAUAAGACUGGAUUCGUCCCGGUUUCCGAAGAAUUCGAGGCGGGUCCUGUCAAGUUCCUCCUAUUAACAAUAAUAAAUUAAAUAUUUAUAUAACUGAUAACAGUUCCUCAUAUUAACAAUAAUAAAUUAGUAUUUUGUAUAAUAAACAUGUUUAAUGAAAUUCAUCUUCUUCUAGCAUGUUUAUUUAAAUUCUAAGUUUUCUGAAGAAAAAAAAAAAAAAAAAGGAGAAGGAAAUGUCCUAAAUUAAAUCUUAAAAGUUCAUUUUUUUCUGUCCCUAUAUAUUUUUUACCCAAUUAUAAUUUGAGAAAAAAAGGUGAAUUAACUGUCAUUUCACCUUCAUCAUUUUCAUGAUUUAUAUAAGAUUCUUCAAAGAUCAUUUCCACAAAAAAUUACUUAAAUUCGAAUCCAUUUAACCGUCUAAUUAAAUCGUUAGGACCGUUGAAAUAAAAUUUAAAGUGAGUUUAAAGUGAGUCCUACUAUGUCUCCCUCAAAUAAGAUCAUUUACAGGAUCUGUCGAGUCAUAUGAGAAUGUUUAGCUUUUCGAUCCCAAGAGUUUGGUUCGAUUUUCAUAUAUAUAUAUAUAUAUAUAUAUAUAUAUACAAGUCAAUUUACUUUAAAAAGUUCACCAAAUUUUAUUUUUGGUCUCGGUAGUUUGCUUGAGGGCCUUUUUCUGUCAAUCUAUUUGUUGUGAUUGAAAGAUUUUAUAUAAAACAAAAGAUAUGUUUUUAUCUUAAAAAAUGCUUAUUUUCAGAUCUUUACAUAUAGACAUACAUAUGGCCUGAGAAUUCAAGCAAUAAAGACAUAAGCUGAUGAGCAUUCAUAAUCAUUAGAAUGAGUACUGAAUGGUCAACUCUUUCAAAAUACUUCGGAAAAAAACAAAGGACAAUACUUCCUUCCUUACUCAUAAGAAGGAACUCCUUCUCACCUUCUAUUGUCCCUCAACCACAAAGUAACAAGUGUUCUCUUUUUUUAAUUGUCAAUUUUUUUUUUUUCACUUUUACUGAACCCCUAGCUUUUUACCAAAGCAAAAAACACAAAACAAUAUUCCCAUUGUUUUUUUUUUUCAUUUUGAUUUUUUUCUCAACUUUUUGAAAAAUAACAUUUUUCCUUCUUCAGUAAAAAAUUGAAGUCUUUGUGGUUAAAAGCUAAGGUUUCAGUAAAGGUUUAAAAUAAAUAAAAAGUUUUGACAAUUCAAAAAACAGAACACAUAUCACUUUGUGGUUGAGCCGCAAUAGAAAGUAAGAAAGAAUUCCACCUUACCCAUAAGGAGGGAAGUAUUGUCAAAAAGAAAACAUCUUAAAAAACACACAGAAAACCCACCAUCACUACUUAAAAGAAGUAGAGAAGUCCAACAUUCUGAUUUUUAUACACCUACGUGACGUGAGCAUUCAAUAAUCAUCCUACACAUAUGUUGAUGUGAGCAUUCAAAAUCAUUAGAAUGAUUUAAUUGAAGACUCAACGUACGGACGUCUUUUUCACUUAGAUUCCCUUCCUGUACAAACUUGAAUCAGUUCCUCCACGACCCCAUCAAUCUCUUCAUCCUCUUUCUUGUUCACGUUGUCGCUUAUUUUCAAUGCCUUUUUUCUCACUCCCUCUCCAAAUUUCUCCACAACCACAUCUCUAAUCACCUUUGCGACCUCUUCUCUUUGCAAACUUCCUUCACCUGUUCUCUUAACCUCCACACCAACACCCACCUCCUCCACUAGUCUAGCGUUGAUCGGCUGGUCAAGAUGCAUAGGCAUGGCUAUAAUUGGAACACCAAACUUGAUGCUCUCCAACACUGAGUUCCAUCCGCAGUGACUCACAAACCCCCCAACACUAGAAUGCUGCAGUAUCUUUGCCUGUGGGGCCCAACCCUCCAUUAUCACUCCCUUCUCUCCCACCCUCUGUAAAAACCCUUCUGGUAACACCUCUUCAACCCUAGUACUUCUCUCCUCCUUAGAAAAUCUUAUAACCCAAAUGAAGCUCACUUUGCUAAGCUCUAAUCCGUGAGCUAUCUCUUCUAUUUGCUCCUUGGACAGAAAGUACUCACUGCCAAAGCAAACAUACACAACAGAAGACCUUUCCAUUUUGUUCAGCCAUUUCAUGAUCCAUGUUUCCUCAUCAACUUUUUGAUCCAUUGGCUCUUGAACAAGCGUGCCAACAGGCACGAUCUUCUUCCCCGUUAAAUCAGAGAGAUAAUCAAUAUAUUUUUCUUCAAUCUCGCUGGAUGUCUUGACCAAAAUGAUGUUACAAGAUCGAGCACUGCAUUGCUGAACACGGUCUCCGUCUUUGAUGCCAUUUGCUGAAGAUUCCAACAAAUUGUUGAACUUUUCAGCUUCGUAAUGUUGAAGAUAAAUCGAAGGAAAAGGAAACUUGACACUAGGGUUCUUGAGAUGUUGAAUACUAAAUGAAGUAAAGGCAGCACCCAUGGUGGUGAAUUCAAUGGAUGGAAAAUUUUGCAAUGAAGCUAGAGAGGGCGCCCAUGGUUGAAGAACAUCAUAUAUGAGCAAAUCUGGACUUAGGGUUUUGAGGAUGUUGGAGAAGUUGUUGCUGGACAUGCUGAAAGCCGUUUUGAGAGUGGACAUGAGAUGGGGAGGGAGGCCAUUGGUGGUGUGGUAGUGCGGUGGGAGUUCAGGCAAGUCAUCAUGUGGAAGAUGGAGUUCCACAAAUUCAAUGCAAUGAGAAUAUUUUUGGGAGAGUUUAGGCUUGAUGGAGCUGAGAUUUACAGGCGUGGAACAAAUAAAGAUGUGAAAAUUUCUCUUGGUGGUCAGCUUCUUGGCUAGCUCUAGGUAGGGAGAUAUAUGGCCGUGAGCUAGCCAUGGAAGCAAAAGAAUAGUAAGGCUUCUUUGGUCAGAGAAAACCAUAUUUUGUUUUCCUUUGACUUGUUUUCCUUUGACUCUUUUGCUUGAGGUUGCUCGAUUAUAGGCUUAUUGGUAGUUUGUUUGUGGCUAGCUCUAUGCAUAUAUAUAUAUAUAUAUAUAUAUAUAUAUAUAUAUAUAUACACACACAAAAACGCGUGAUGAUUGGAACAUGCACACGUAAGUUCCAGAGAGUGAUGAUUGGCCUAUGAUAAAGACUCGAAACAAGAAUAGUUUAAAUUUUCUUCUUUGUUUGGCUUGAUAUAAGACGAAUGCACCAAACAAACCGACUAAAUGCCGACACAAUAAUUAGGUACGUAAUAAUAUCAACUUUCAUUAUAUAGAUCUGAGAAACAAAAAGUUGAACUUUGAUGACAAGCGAUAUUAAGGAAGGGCACAAUCGAACUUAGGAUCUCGAAUGUUGAAGUACAUGCUCUUAACAACUUGAGCUAUAAGGUAUUUGUAAUGACAAUUUAUGGUUUUAAUUAUACUUUUGAAUAGUUGCUUCCUUCUCUUUCAUUUUUAUUUUUAUUUGUUUAUAUUUAACUCUAAUUUUAUUUAUAUUUCUGGUCAAGGUAUAAAGACUUUGAAUCUCUCUCCAAUUAUUUUUCACAGCCGAAACUCCUUUAGUUUCCACAAAUCUUUUUAAACAUUUCAGGCAUAUGUAUGUUUCCGAGUCGGAUGGUUCACGUAACCAAGAAAUUUAAACUUGUUUUUGUUUGUUCCUCCGAAGAAAGCACAACAAAAGGACAACCUACAACCAAUACUUCUCAUUGAAUUUGUUGCCGUGAAUGAUUAGGACUCUGCCCAAACUAGUAGUUGCGUUUCUGAAUUGUUUGAAAACACAUAUCAAAUUAUGAUUUCUCCUCCCCGAAAGAAAAAUUGACGUAGAAGUAUCAUGAUCUUGAUGACACAAAUUAGAAUCUAGGGUUUUCGAAGUGCCUAAUGGACAACUACUUAUUUAGAAAUAUAUAUAUUUUUGUGGCUAAAAUUUAAAUUUAUUAUAUAUAUUCUCAAUGCAGAAACACAUAAAUCUAAGUUCGAAUUCAUCCUUUUUUUGUUUUUUUUUUUUUGUUUUUUUAACCCAGAAGAAAAAUUGAGUCCCACUCUGCUGUGUAGAAUGCGCGUUUAGUAUAGAUUUUUUUAUUUUUGAGUCUCUUAUCUGGUUCCCGAGCUUCUACAUUUAGGUCUCGUGUAUUUAUCUGCAUUUUCUUAAAUCUAAAUCACUCAAACAAUCUAACCACUUAACAAAUGACACGUACUCAAACUUAAAAUCAGAAUGGAUGGAGUAGAGGCUUACACCGAUGAUUCUUGGUCAAGACUUGAGAGACAGAUGGAGACGAGGCAUGACAUAAAGUCUGAAGAAGAGAAACGAGGAAGCUUCAUUUAGAUGGUGGUGUAAGUGCAUACGUAAAGUCCAGAUUCAACAGGAAAGCAUCUUAAACGUAAAGAAAAUAAGUUUACCAGAAGCAAAAGAGAUACUGAAGUAAUUGUUUAUCAACUGAACUUAAACGAAAUAUUAACUCUUUGUUGUGCCAUAAGCACAAGAUCUUAUGAAAAAAAAUUCAAGAUAAACCAUAUAAUAUUGGGAGAUUCACGUUUAUACCGAAUAUAGGAAUUCAAAUUAUAAAAUAAAUAAAUAAAUAAAAUAAUCGAUAUGAAAUGGACUUUAGAAACACACACAAAGCCUAUUUACAACAUAACAAAAAGGUUUUUCCCUUCUUUUAAAUUACAAAACUGCCAUUGAUUUCUUAAAACAAACCCAACUCCAAAACCUCAUUAAAAAAGCACAAAACACUCAAUAGGGUGUCAAAGUAAUUUAAUAAUAAAAAAUAAAUUCAAUAAGGCCAAUUGAAUUUUUUGGAUUUUUUUUUGGGUUUGUUUAUAGAAAUUAAUGGUGUAGGGUUUAUCUAUAUUAUUGGUGUUAAGAAUGAAUAAUGACUAAAUAUCUCUAUAAUAUUUUCUAACUCACAAAAUAAUAUAGAAAAUAAAUGCAAGAACAAGAAAAUAGCAAUAUGCAAUUUAACGAAGCUGCUUACAAUCAGUGCAAAUGAGCAAACAAAUUCGCUAUUAAUUUAUGAAGUGUUUUUGUAUUUACAAUACCGCCUCUUGAAUGUCCACCAUACAAUAAUAUAGUUGCAUCAUUAAAAACUUUACUUGAAAAAUCGUUUGGGACAAAACUUAAGCUAAGAGAAAAAGAGUGCAACACAAAUGAUAUUGACAUCACAUAUGUCUCUCCUACAGAGUGAGCUUUGGUGAUGCUUGUAUAAAAAUUGCUUUCACAUCAUUAUUGGGAGAUGUAUGUAUGUCAUCAAUCAUUUGAAUCUUGUUGAGGUUAAAGUAAAACCAAAAAAAUAUCAAGGGCCAUUUUCAUAUAGUUUUUCACAAUAAAAAUUAACAAAAUAACUUCAUGUUCUUUAAUAUCAUCAAAAAAAUAAUAUAAACAAACUCAUAGUUUACCUUUUCAAUGAUAAGUGUUUGGAAAAUUUACAUGGAAUAAUAUUUGGUAUGCUAUGCUAGCAUCUCAUAAGCUCUUCAAGAGACCUAAAUUUUAUGAUAACUUCUUAAAAAAAUUUGAAUACUUUUCAACAAUAUUAAACUUGAAUUCAAACUCAUAAUUCAAUCAAAGUACUCAUUGAGGCAAUUUAGAUCAUUUUCAUUUUAAGAAAAUUGGGUGCAUACAUUGAGCUUCAUGCCCUUUACCUUCUUAGAGAUUUUCUUCGAGCAAUUUAUAUUGCAUGACAGAUUAUAUCUCUUAGAAUUUGUUCUUAUGUAUUCUUCAAGAGAUCUCUUCUUGCAAUAUGCUUCAAACACUUCAUAAUCUUUAUAGAUUUUUCAUGUAGAUUUAAGGUCUCCAUGAAUAUUGAGAUUGAAACAAGGAGUAAAAUAAAAGUUUAAGAAAAAUUUUCCCUGAUUAUUUUGUAAUUAUAAUGUUGGUGAAAACCUAAUUUCCUUUCUGAAAUUUGUGAAAUUUGUUAUUUGGCUAAGCUAAAAGUAUAAUAUUGACAAUAAAACGUAUACGAAAGUUUCUCUUUGGCUGGCUUCUUGGCUGGCUCUAGGAAGGGACAUUGCGGCCAUGAGAUAACCAUAGGAAGCAUAAUAAGAAUGCUUGGAUGCUCUGAACAAUCCAUUUUCUGACUCUUUUUCUUGAGGCGGUUGUUUUCUUAGGCCCAUCAGAGUUUAUGGUCGACAGAUAAGCUUCAAACACAUGCAUUGGUCGUGUCAGUUGCGAUAAACUCUUCCCAACAAUCUGAGACUCACAUCACUCCAAACACAUAAAAAGAAGUGGAAAUUUGCUAUUCUUUGUCUUUGUUUGGACAGCUAAUAGCAAAGCAUUGGAAACAUCGAAAAAAGAAAGUUAAUUAAUUUAAGAAAAACAAAGAAAUCCUUCUUUUUUUUUCUUUUUUUUUUCAGCAAACCGAAACAUAAAAUCCGAAAAAGAAGAAGGCAUGUCCAAAAUUACAUCUUGAAUUUAUUUUGGAGAUUCACUAUUAUACUCAAAUUAUAUAUGAAAUAAAUUUUAGAAACACACAUGACGCCAAUUUACAAUAUAACAAAAAAACUUUUAACUUCUUGUAAAUUACAAAAUUGUUAUCGAUUUCUUAAAACAAGCCUAAUCCUAAAACCUCAUAAAAAAAAAAUCAAAACACUCAAUAAGGCAUCAAAGUAAUUUAAUAAUUAAAAUUAAAUUUAAUAGGGUCAUCUGUCAUUUUUUGGAUUUUUUUCGAAGUUGUUUAUAAAAAUUAAAAUAAUGUAUAGUUUGUUUAUAAAAAUUAAAUGAUGUAGAGUUUCUUUAUAUAAUUAAUGUUAAUAAUGAGUAUAUGAAUAAAUGUCACUUUUCUUUAUUAACCAUUUAUAAUAUAUGAACUCAAGACUUCCUAUCGAACACCGAAUGGUCUUUCCAUUCCUUGUUAAUUCAAAGUCUGAAAAUGUUCGGUGUCAGCUCAUGAAUUUAAAGGCUUAAAGGCUCAAAACUUGAACGAAUAUGAAAGAAAAAAGUCGUUCACCGUUCAUCCUCUUCCUGCAGCUGUGCAUGCUAAUCACCCACUGAAUUAAACAUACAAAUACGCUUUAUGUUUUCUCAAAUUGUUCUUUGAACUAAGUAGAGGUUGGAAUACACUCGGGGUCAACAUUGUUCAAAUACAAAACACUUCUUAAUUUUAUAUUUUAUCAAAACAGAUCGAAACUUCAUUCAAACUGAGAACCUAGAUUACAAAACUACCAGAAAAACUGGAAUCUGCACUGUGGCCUCAUUAAAACCUUGCUUUAAAAAACUCCUAAAAGAGGAGAAUUCAGUCAAGAAAAAAGAGUACCACAGCAAGUGAAAUCCGAUAUCAUACUUCAUUCCUUUCUCAUACAAAGUUGAAUCAACUGCUCUACCACCCCAUCUAUCUCUUCAUCCUCUCUCUUUUUCAUGUUGUCUCUCAAUUCCAUUGCCUUUCUUUUCAAACCCUGUCCAUUUUCUUCCACCACCACAUCUCUGAUUACUUUUGCUAUCUCGUCCCUUUUCAGCCUCCCGUUCUCGUUGCCGCCUCCUCCCAUUCUCUUAACCUCCACACCAACUCCAACGUCCUCUACUAUUCUAGCGUUAAUAGGCUGGUCAAGAUGCAUAGGCAUGGCUACAAUUGGAACGCCAAACUUGAUGCUCUCCAACACUGAGCUCCAUCCACAGUGGCUCACAAACCCACCAGCACUAGAAUGCUUCAAUACUUUUGCCUGUGGAGCCCAACCAUCCACUAUUAUUCCCUUCUCCCCCACCCUCUCAAAAAACCCUUCUGGUAAUACCUCUUCAACCCUAGUACCUUUCUCUUCCUUAGGAAAUCUUAUAACCCAAAUAAAACUCACUUUGCUAAUCUCUAGCCCAUGAGCUAUCUCUUCUAUUUCCUCCUUGGAUAAAAAGUACUCACUGCCGAAGGAAACAUACACCACCGAAGAUCUUUCUCUAGUGUUUAGCCACUUCAUGAUUUUUGUUUCCUCCGAAUCCACUUCUUGCUCUAUAAGGUCUUGAACAAGUGAACCAACAGGCACAAUCUUCUUCCCAAUUAGAUCAGAGAGAUAAUCAAUAUAUUUUGCUUCAAUCUCUCUAGAACUCUUAACUAAUACGAUCUUACAAGAACGAUCGCUGCACUGCUUAGCACGGUCUCCAUCACUGAUGCCAUUUGAUGAAGAUUCUAACAACAUCUUGAUCUUACUAGUCUCGUAAUAGAUUGAAGGAAACGGAAAUUUGACACCAGGUUUCUCGCCAUGGUGGGUACAAACUGACAUCAUGGCAGCACUGGUUGUGAAGAACUCGAUGGCUGGAAUGUUUUGUAACAAAGCUAGAGAGGGUGCCCAUGGUUGAAGAAAAUCAUAAAUUAGCAAAUCCGGGUGUAGGGUUUUGAGGAUGUUGGAGAAGUUAGGGCUUGCCCUGUCGAAGGCGGUUUUGAGAGUGGACAUGAGGUGGGGUGGGAGGCCAUUGGUAGUGUGGUAAUGAGGUGGGAGUUCAGGCAAGUCGUCAUAUGGAAGAUGUAGUUGCACGAGUUCAAUGCAACGAGAGUAUUUUUCAGAGAGUUGUGGCUUGAUGGAUCUGAGAUUUACAGGUGUGGAACAAAAAUAGAUGUGAAAAUUUCUGUUGGUCAGCUUCUUUGCUAGCUCUAGGUAGGGAGAUAUGU